This 423-nucleotide ribosomal RNA is filed under the name uncultured bacterium. Its description in RNAcentral is "bacterial SSU rRNA". It matches the Rfam family "Bacterial small subunit ribosomal RNA", at positions 207 to 622 of the family's 1533-position model. The record is from RNAcentral.
AAGACCAUGCGCUUUGGGAGCGGCCGAUGUCUGAUUAGCUAGUUGGUGGGGUAAAGGCCUACCAAGGCGACGAUCAGUAGUUGGUCUGAGAGGACGACCAGCCACACUGGGACUGAGACACGGCCCAGACUCCUACGGGAGGCAGCAGUGGGGAAUUUUGGACAAUGGGCGCAAGCCUGAUCCAGCAAUGCCGCGUGAGUGAAGAAGGCCUUCGGGUUGUAAAGCUCUUUCAGUCGAGAAGAAAAAGCUGCAGUGAAUAACUGUAGUUCAUGACGGUAUCGACAGAAGAAGCACCGGCUAACUACGUGCCAGCAGCCGCGGUAAUACGUAGGGUGCGAGCGUUAAUCGGAAUUACUGGGCGUAAAGGGUGCGCAGGCGGCUUUGUAAGUCAGAUGUGAAAUCCCCGGGCUUAACCUGGGAAUU